UCUUCAAUUCUAUAUUUUAUUCAUCAUCUAAUUGUAUCUCUACUAUUUUUAAUGAUUUUUCAAACUCACAUUUGAAUCUAUUUUAUGGUAAAUUUUGCCUAUUUCAUGGUUUCCAUGGAUUAGCUAGCAAUUUAGCAUACAUAACACUAAAUAUGAUCAUGAUUAGCCAUUCCAAUGGCUAAUCAUUACCAAGCAUUUCCAUACCACUCAAUAUCCAUAUCAUAAGACCAUAUAUACAAAAUGAUUGUAACGCUAUACAUGUCAUACUCAAAAUAUACAAGCCAUUAUGCCAAGAUGGUAUACGGAUAGUGUGAGUGGGCCUCCGACCGUUCCCGAUUUCCGAGCUGGCUUGUCAAAACUAUAAGGAAUGAAAAGGAGGGAGUGAGCAUAAAUGCUUAGUAAGUUCAUAUGAAAUUAAUAAGCAAUUACCAACAUGCUUUUAAGAUAAAACACCACAAUUGUACAAUUAUACAUACUCAGCUUAAACUGUUUUAUCGAGAUACAUUUACUAAAUAAUUUAUUUCUGGAGCUACGAAACUUCAAAUUAAGUUCUGUUAAUUUUCGUUGAAACUAGAUUCAUAUACCUUUCUCCCAUAAAAUUUCCAGAAUUUUUGGUUUAGCCAUUUAGUACAGUUUAUUCAUUAAAGUUUCCUCUGUUUCGCUGUCCAACAGUUCUGAUCUCUCUUCAUUAAAAAUUAUUUAUCUCAUAAUUCGGGACUUGGAUGAUGUUCCCGUCUAUCCCUCUUGAAAAUAGACUCGAUAAGGAUUUUAAAUAUAUAAAUUAAAACUCAUAAUUAUUUUUUUACAAUUUCUAAUGAUUUUCUAAAGUCAGAACAGGGGAUCUCGAAGUCAUUCAAACUCUGUCUCACAACAAUUUAAAUAUCUUAUAACAUAAAAUCCAAUUGCAUGCACCGUUUCCUCUAUAUGAAACUAGACUCAUCAGGAUUUAAUCUCAUAUUUUAUUCAGCCCUUAACUCAAUUUCCACAAUUUAUAGUGAAUUUCAAAAGAUACACUACUGCAGUAACCCAAAACUGCCAAGGCCAUAUUUAUCCAUUCACCACUAUUAUUCACUAAAUACAUACAAUAUCAUUUCAUCCAUCAUGGUAAGAACACAUAAUUAUGCUUCAUAAGCAUAGAUCCAUAAUCUCAAUGUCAUCAAGUAUCAAGAACUUAUUCCAAAUCGUGUCAUUUUCAUAGUAUUCACCAAUUCUUAAUCUUUUCGGGCCAUUUUACAUUUUCGUUCAUAAUCAAAUUAGGGAACGAUUAUGGAAUUGAGUACCUCAUUAUCACAAUGCCAUAGUAAAACUAUGGUAUUGCACAUAGUCACAUAUCACAUACCGAGGCCAUAGCCCAGCUAUGGUCUUACACGGAUCACAUAUCACACUGAUGCCAUAUCCCAGAUAUGGUCUUAUACAGUAGCACAUAUCACACCGAUGCCAUAUCCCGGAUAUGGUCUUAUACGGAAGCACAUAUCACAUUUCUCCGAAGCCAUAGCCCAGCUAUGGUCUUAUACGAAAAUCACAUUUCACAUGCUGCCAUGGUCCAACCAUGGUCUUUUCCGUCAAUUCGUCUUAGCCACUGAAUGAAAGUACUCAAGUCCGUUGUUCCAUUUAAUUUGUACUUUUAUUCAAAUAUCAUUUUACAAUUAUCACAGUUUAAUGACAUUUUAUAUGCAAUAAUAUACUAUAUCAUUCAUGAAAAUUUCAUUUCAAAACAUUAAAUUACACAUUGCAUUAUUAAAAAUCAUAUGAACUUACCUCGAUAUAAAAUAUUAGCAAUCGAGCCUAUUCCUCGUAAACUUUAUUUUUCCCUCGAUCACGACUUGAAUCUCGUUUCUCUUGAUCUAUAAUAUAAAUUAUUUCUACUCAUUAGUAUUUAUUUGAUUUCUAUUUCACUUCACAAUUUAUGCUGUUCAAAUUUCAAAAUUGCACUUUUACCCUAAAAUUUACAGUUUUUACAAUUUAGUCCCUGCUCAAUUCAUCCAUCAAUUGAACUAUUUUUUUUCUCAAUUAACACUUUUAUUUUAUCAUUAUAAACUAAUUCACAACCUUUGAUAUUCUGAAUUUCAACAUCAACAUCUAAUUCACAACUUUUUCACAAUUAGGUCCUAAAUACCAUUUUCUAUCAAAAUGACUUAAUAAAACAACCUUAAUAUGAAAUUUGAACUUAAAUUUCAUAAUAAUUCAUCAUAUACUGCCCUUACUCAGCCAGGGUAACUUCCAAUUUCACCCACCAAAUCAAAAACUAAUGAAUUAGAUGAUUGGACCUAAUUGCAAAAGUCUUAAAAAUACAAAAAAUAUAAGAAAAGGGCAAGAAAUAGACUCACAUGCAGUGAAAUUGUGCAAAGCCAGCUUAAAAGCUCUCUCCCAUGGCUGUCUGGCCGAAAUUAUGAGAAGAAUG
RNAcentral lists this long non-coding RNA (2401 nucleotides) under Gossypium barbadense (sea-island cotton). RNAcentral describes it as "long non-coding RNA (GBAR_LNC012001)". The record is from RNAcentral. Lineage: Eukaryota; Viridiplantae; Streptophyta; Magnoliopsida; Malvales; Malvaceae.